This 378-nucleotide ribosomal RNA is filed under the name uncultured marine eukaryote. RNAcentral's name for it is "SSU rRNA". It matches the Rfam family "Eukaryotic small subunit ribosomal RNA", at positions 617 to 999 of the family's 1831-position model. The record is from RNAcentral.
GGUUAAAAAGCUCGUAGUUGGAUUUCUGUCGAGGGCGGGCGGUCCGCACUAUGUGCGUGUAUCUUGUUCGGUCUUGGCAUCCUCUUGGGGAAUGCUUCUGUGCUUGAUUGCAUGGGGUGGAAUUCAAGACUUUUACUUUGAGGAAAUUAGAGUGUUCACGGCAAGCUACCGCUUUGAAUACAUUAGCAUGGAAUAAUAAUAUAGGGCGUAAGUUCUAUUUUGUUGGUUUCUAGGACAUACGCAAUGAUUAAUAGGGACAAUUGGGGGCAUUCGUAUUAACGCGUCAGAGGUGGAAUUCUUAGAUUGCGUUACGACGAACUACUGCGAAAGCAUUUGCCAAAGAUGUUUUCAUUGAUCAAGAACGAAAGUAUGGGGAUC